This 666-nucleotide ribosomal RNA is filed under the name Acinetobacter modestus. RNAcentral describes it as "bacterial SSU rRNA". It matches the Rfam family "Bacterial small subunit ribosomal RNA", at positions 44 to 704 of the family's 1533-position model. Lineage: Bacteria; Pseudomonadati; Pseudomonadota; Gammaproteobacteria; Moraxellales; Moraxellaceae. The record is from RNAcentral.
AGGCUUAACACAUGCAAGUCGAGCGGGGAUGAGGUGCUUGCUCCUUAUCUUAGCGGCGGACGGGUGAGUAAUGCUUAGGAAUCUGCCAUUUAGUGGGGGACAACAUUCCGAAAGGAAUGCUAAUACCGCAUACGUCCUACGGGAGAAAGCAGGGGAUCUUCGGACCUUGCGCUAAAUGAUGAGCCUAAGUCGGAUUAGCUAGUUGGUGGGGUAAAGGCCUACCAAGGCGACGAUCUGUAGCGGGUCUGAGAGGAUGAUCCGCCACACUGGGACUGAGACACGGCCCAGACUCCUACGGGAGGCAGCAGUGGGGAAUAUUGGACAAUGGGCGGAAGCCUGAUCCAGCCAUGCCGCGUGUGUGAAGAAGGCCUUUUGGUUGUAAAGCACUUUAAGCGAGGAGGAGGCUACUAGUACUAAUACUACUGGAUAGUGGACGUUACUCGCAGAAUAAGCACCGGCUAACUCUGUGCCAGCAGCCGCGGUAAUACAGAGGGUGCGAGCGUUAAUCGGAUUUACUGGGCGUAAAGCGUGCGUAGGCGGCUUUUUAAGUCGGAUGUGAAAUCCCCGAGCUUAACUUGGGAAUUGCAUUCGAUACUGGGAAGCUAGAGUAUGGGAGAGGAUGGUAGAAUUCCAGGUGUAGCGGUGAAAUGCGUAGAGAUCUGGAGG